Molecule: ribosomal RNA, 417 nt
Filed under: uncultured bacterium
Lineage: Bacteria
Description: bacterial SSU rRNA
Rfam family: Bacterial small subunit ribosomal RNA
Source: RNAcentral
UGGGGAAUAUUGGGCAAUGGGCGCAAGCCUGACCCAGCAACGCCGCGUGAAGGAAGAAGGCUUUCGGGUUGUAAACUUCUUUUGUCAGGGAAGAUGAAGAGACGGUACCUGACGAAUAAGCCACGGCUAACUACGUGCCAGCAGCCGCGGUAAUACGUAGGUGGCAAGCGUUGUCCGGAUUUACUGGGUGUAAAGGGCGUGUAGGCGGGAGAGCAAGUCAGGCGUGAAAACUAUGGGCUUAACCCAUAGCCUGCGUUUGAAACUGUUUUUCUUGAGUACUGGAGAGGUUGACGGAAUUCCUUGUGUAGCGGUGAAAUGCGUAGAUAUAAGGAGGAACACCAGUGGCGAAGGCGGCUUGCUGGGCUUUUACUGACGCUGAGGCUCGAAAGUGUGGGGAGCAAACAGGAUUAGAUACCC